UCGUAUCCAGGAGGCAAUACUGUAGGCGGAGCCAUUGUACGCAGCUCAACCAUCCCCAACUUGAGUAGUUCGGGUAACAAUUCUGCGUAAGACAUUGGUAACGGGUCAAAUCUUCUAUCAGGCUGCAACCUCUGUCUUGGCUGAUAAGGACGUUGCUGUUGUUGCUGUUGUUGUUGUUGCGGUUGUUGAACCCUUUGUUGUUGUUGACGAGGUUGAGGUGCAGGAAUGGUCACUGCAGCUACUGGGCGAUAUUGAUCUAUGUUUGCAUUUGCUCUGUACACACCCCCUCUGUGUUGUACAGCGUU
This 305-nucleotide long non-coding RNA is filed under the name Lathyrus oleraceus (garden pea). Its description in RNAcentral is "Pisum sativum (pea) long non-coding RNA (PSAT_LNC042142)". Lineage: Eukaryota; Viridiplantae; Streptophyta; Magnoliopsida; Fabales; Fabaceae. The record is from RNAcentral.